GCUACCUUUAGCUUAGUGGUAGAGCAUCUGCUUUGCAUGCAGAAGGUCCUGGGUUUAGUCCCCAGCAUCUCCA
This is a non-coding RNA of Podarcis lilfordi (Lilford's wall lizard), 73 nucleotides long. The record is from the annotation of a GenBank genome assembly. Lineage: Eukaryota; Metazoa; Chordata; Lepidosauria; Squamata; Lacertidae.